GCCACCAUGGUGAAAUCGGUAGACAUGCUGCUUUUAGGAAGCAGUGCGAGAGCAUCUCGGUUCGAGUCCGAGUGGUGGCA
Molecule: transfer RNA, 80 nt
Filed under: Corsia dispar
Lineage: Eukaryota; Viridiplantae; Streptophyta; Magnoliopsida; Liliales; Corsiaceae
Description: tRNA-Leu
Rfam family: tRNA
About the family: Transfer RNA (tRNA) molecules are approximately 80 nucleotides in length. Their secondary structure includes four short double-helical elements and three loops (D, anti-codon, and T loops).
Source: RNAcentral